GCUCUGUUACACUGAAUCACAUUUCUUGCAUUUGCAGAUGCUAGUCAUGAUUGCUUCCCAGCCCCCUGCAACCUUGGUUGAGCACACAGUGAUAUGCCCUCAUAUUUGGACUCUUAUGAAUCUGUUUUUCCUCUUUUUACUGAUGUUUUUCAGAUUCUUGUUCCUUUUUCUUCAUCAUAAUACUCAGCCAUCUUUAAUGAAAACACAUCCUCUGUAAAUCCAGAGUGCAGAUAUGCUUUAGGAACUGAUCUUGUACCCUUAAUUGUGUAAGGUAAUGUCCAUAAGGUGUGAAAGAAUUUUAGACAACCCCCCCUGCAGACUCUAAUAUCCUCCUCCUUCAAUUAUUUCACAGUGCUCUUUCCAAAGUAAUUUACAUCAUCAGUUCAACUUACUGAAAAUCUGUUUAAGUCCACAACUGGGCUUAAAAGGUGAUCAGCAAAGUGAGGUUAGUAUGACCUGCUUGUAAAGAAGGUGUGACUAUUAUGUAAUAAACUAGAAUAUUAAUAAUCUGCA
RNAcentral lists this long non-coding RNA (513 nucleotides) under Anas platyrhynchos platyrhynchos (common mallard). Its description in RNAcentral is "lncRNA (ENSAPLG00000026096.1)". The record is from RNAcentral. Lineage: Eukaryota; Metazoa; Chordata; Aves; Anseriformes; Anatidae.